GAUGAACGCUGGCGGCGUGCCUAAUACAUGCAAGUCGAACGAACGGACCAGAAGCUUGCUUCUCUGAUGUUAGCGGCGGACGGGAGAGUAACAUGUGGAUAACCUACCUAUAAGACUGGGAUAAUUACGGGAAACCGGAGCUAAUACCGGAUAAUAUUUUGAACCGCAUGGUUCAAAAGUGAAAGUCGGUAUUGCUGUAACUAAUAGAUGGAUCCGCGCUGCAUUAGCUAGUUGGUAAGGUAACGGCUUACCAAGGCAACGAUGCAUAGCCGACCUGCGAGGGUGGUCGGCCACAUGGGAACGGAGCCAGGGUCCAGACUCCUACGGGAGGCAGCAGUAGGGAAUCUUCCGCAAUGGGGGAAAGCCUGACGGAGCAACGCCGCGUGAGUGAUGAAGGUCUUCGGAUCGUAAAACUCUGUUAUUAGGGGAGAACAUAUGUGUAAUUAACUGUGCACAUCUUGACGGUACCGAAUCAAAAAGCCACGGCUAACUACGUG
RNAcentral lists this ribosomal RNA (497 nucleotides) under uncultured bacterium. RNAcentral describes it as "partial 16S ribosomal RNA". It matches the Rfam family "Bacterial small subunit ribosomal RNA", at positions 28 to 507 of the family's 1533-position model. The record is from RNAcentral.